AGUCGGACGGGAUUGGGAGCUUGCUCCCAUGAGAGUGGCGCACGGGUGCGUAACACGUAUGUAACCUACCUUGAUCAGGGGGAUAGCCUCUCGAAAGAGAGAUUAACACCGCAUAACAUAACUGGGUGGCAUCAUUUAGUUAUCAAAUAUUUAUAGGAUCAAGAUGGGCAUGCGGGACAUUAGCUAGUUGGUAAGGUAACGGCUUACCAAGGCGACGAUGUCUAGGGGAUCUGAGAGGAUGGCCCCCCACACUGGUACUGGGACACGGACCAGACUCCUACGGGAGGCAGCAGUAAGGAAUAUUGGUCAAUGGGCGCAAGCCUGAACCAGCCAUGCCGCGUGCAGGAAGACGGCCCUACGGGUUGUAAACUGCUUUUGCGCCGGAAUAAACCCUCUUACGUGUAAGAGGCUGAAUGUACGGCGAGAAUAAGGAUCGGCUAACUCCGUGCCAGCAGCCGCGGUAAUACGGAGGAUCCAAGCGUUAUCCGGAUUUAUUGGGUUUAAAGGGUGCGUAGGCGGCCUGUUAAGUCAGGGGUGAAAGCCGGUAGCUCAACUACCGAAGUGCCUUUGAUACUGACGGGCUUGAAUGCAGCUGAAGUGGGCGGAAUGUGACAAGUAGCGGUGAAAUGCAUAGAGAUGUCACAGAACACCGAUUGCGAAGGCAGCUCACUAAAGUGCGAUUGACGCUGAGGCACGAAAGCGUGGGGAUCAAACAGGAUUAGAUACCCUGGUAGUCCACGCCCUAAACGAUGAACACUCGAUGUUGGCGAUAUACGGUCAGCGUCUAAGCGAAAGCGUUAAGUGUUCCACCUGGGGAGUACGCCCGCAAGGGUGAAACUCAAAGGAAUUGAC
This 852-nucleotide ribosomal RNA is filed under the name uncultured bacterium. RNAcentral's name for it is "bacterial SSU rRNA". It matches the Rfam family "Bacterial small subunit ribosomal RNA", at positions 60 to 914 of the family's 1533-position model. The record is from RNAcentral.